CAGUCUGUAGUCUAGUGGCUAAGGUACAUGACUGAGACUCCUGAGGUUGGUGGCUCGAGCCCCAGUCUGG
Molecule: transfer RNA, 70 nt
Filed under: Albula goreensis
Lineage: Eukaryota; Metazoa; Chordata; Actinopteri; Albuliformes; Albulidae
Description: tRNA-OTHER
Source: RNAcentral